Molecule: ribosomal RNA, 597 nt
Filed under: uncultured Eubacteriaceae bacterium
Lineage: Bacteria; Bacillati; Bacillota; Clostridia; Eubacteriales; Eubacteriaceae
Description: bacterial SSU rRNA
Rfam family: Bacterial small subunit ribosomal RNA
Source: RNAcentral
AGUGGCGAACGGGUGAGUAACACGUGGGUAACCUACCAUAUAGACAGGGACAACAGUUGGAAACGACUGCUAAUACCUGAUAACAUAAGCUAUCGCAUGAUAGGUUAUGGAAAGGGGCGUAUGCCUCACUAUGUGAUGGACCCGCGGCGCAUUAGCUAGUUGGUGAGAUAAAAGCUCACCAAGGCGACGAUGCGUAGCCGACCUGAGAGGGUGAACGGCCACAUUGGACUGAGACACGGCCCAGACUCCUACGGGAGGCAGCAGUAGGGAAUUUUCCACAAUGGGGGCAACCCUGAUGGAGCAAUGCCGCGUGAGAGAAGAAGGCCUUCGGGUUGUAAAUCUCUGUUGUAAGGGAAGAAAAUUGAUAAGAGGAAAUGCUUAUUAAGUGACGGUACCUUACCAGAAAGCCACGGCUAACUACGUGCCAGCAGCCGCGGUAAUACGUAGGUGGCGAGCGUUAUCCGGAAUUAUUGGGCGUAAAGGGUGCGCANGCGGUUGUAAAAGAUUGUGGUUAAAGAAUGGGGCUCAACCCCAUAAUGCCNUGAUAACUUUACAACUAGAGUGCAGAAGAGGAGAGUGGAAUUCCNUGUGUAGCGG